UCUCUUAGCUCAACUGUUAAAACUGAAAGUUCCCAUCUGAUCUCAGAAGCUAAGCAGGGUUGGGCCUGGUUAGUACUUGGAUGGGAGACCACCUAGGAAUACCAGGUGCUGUAGGCA
RNAcentral lists this ribosomal RNA (117 nucleotides) under Pteropus alecto (black flying fox). The record is from RNAcentral. Lineage: Eukaryota; Metazoa; Chordata; Mammalia; Chiroptera; Pteropodidae.